GUGUCUUCUCAAACAAAGGAAGACAUCAGUGCAAAUAAAUCUUCAGCUCUUUCAUUAGUCAAGUUGACAGGGAGUGGUUUGCUCUCUUUACGUUCCCCCAUGAGGAUUCAGCCGACACCAUUCAAAUUGUGUCUGAUAUUAUUGAUUCCCUGGGAUCUGCAGAUUCGAGUUCCCCAGAGUGGUGUCAUCGAAUUUUUUCCUAUCCAAGCUACAUGCAGUUUGAAUGAGCCAGACCUAAGGACUGUUGUUCAAAAGCUUGUUCUUAAGUUUGUGAAGGAUAAGCAAAGUACACUUGCAUCACCAAUAAAGUUUGCAGUUGGAUAUAAUAGAAGAGGUCUUGAAGAGAUGGAGCUGAAGAAUUCAAAGAUAAACCUGAUGGUUCUGAUCUAUUACCUUUGUUGGACCGCCGCAAAUGCUUUGAAGUCGUAGCUGCAGCAGUUAAGGAUGCUAUAUCAGAUUCAGUUGUAGAUCUUAAAAACCCUGAGAUUUCUGUUCUGGUGGAGCUCCUACCCCUUGCAGCCAUUCCAAGUGGGUCACUGGUGGCCGCUGUAUCAGUGCUUCCGCCAAAAAUGGUCACUACAAAGCCACGGCUGUGUGUCAAGGCGUUGGCUCCUCAGGCUAAGUCAAAGAAUAAGUAAGUUGGUGGACUAUAGCAGCCUCUCACAGCUGUGAAAUCUUCAAAUGGAAGAUGCUCGUGAUUCUGGCCUU
Molecule: long non-coding RNA, 708 nt
Organism: Eucalyptus grandis
Lineage: Eukaryota; Viridiplantae; Streptophyta; Magnoliopsida; Myrtales; Myrtaceae
Exons: 4
Source: RefSeq, a predicted model, not a curated record